Molecule: ribosomal RNA, 1435 nt
Filed under: uncultured organism
Description: partial small subunit ribosomal RNA
Rfam family: Bacterial small subunit ribosomal RNA
Source: RNAcentral
CUGUCGGCGUGCUUAACACAUGCAAGUCGAACGGAAAGGCCCUGCUUUUGUGGGGUGCUCGAGUGGCGAACGGGUGAGUAACACGUGAGUAACCUGCCCUUGACUUUGGGAUAACUUCAGGAAACUGGGGCUAAUACCGGAUAGGAGCUCCUGCUGCAUGGUGGGGGUUGGAAAGUUUCGGCGGUUGGGGAUGGACUCGCGGCUUAUCAGCUUGUUGGUGGGGUAGUGGCUUACCAAGGCUUUGACGGGUAGCCGGCCUGAGAGGGUGACCGGCCACAUUGGGACUGAGAUACGGCCCAGACUCCUACGGGAGGCAGCAGUGGGGAAUAUUGCACAAUGGGCGGAAGCCUGAUGCAGCAACGCCGCGUGCGGGAUGACGGCCUUCGGGUUGUAAACCGCUUUCGCCUGUGACGAAGCGUGAGUGACGGUAAUGGGUAAAGAAGCACCGGCUAACUACGUGCCAGCAGCCGCGGUGAUACGUAGGGUGCGAGCGUUGUCCGGAUUUAUUGGGCGUAAAGGGCUCGUAGGUGGUUGAUCGCGUCGGAAGUGUAAUCUUGGGGCUUAACCCUGAGCGUGCUUUCGAUACGGGUUGACUUGAGGAAGGUAGGGGAGAAUGGAAUUCCUGGUGGAGCGGUGGAAUGCGCAGAUAUCAGGAGGAACACCAGUGGCGAAGGCGGUUCUCUGGGCCUUUCCUGACGCUGAGGAGCGAAAGCGUGGGGAGCGAACAGGCUUAGAUACCCUGGUAGUCCACGCUGUAAACGGUGGGUACUAGGUGUGGGGUCCAUUCCACGGGUUCCGUGCCGUAGCUAACGCUUUAAGUACCCCGCCUGGGGAGUACGGCCGCAAGGCUAAAACUCAAAGGAAUUGACGGGGCCCCGCACAAGCGGCGGAGCAUGCGGAUUAAUUCGAUGCAACGCGUAGAACCUUACCUGGGUUUGACAUGGAUCGGGAGUGCUCAGAGAUGGGUGUGCCUCUUUUGGGGUCGGUUCACAGGUGGUGCAUGGCUGUCGUCAGCUCGUGUCGUGAGAUGUUGGGUUAAGUCCCGCAACGAGCGCAACCCUUGUUCACUGUUGCCAGCACGUUAUGGUGGGGACUCAGUGGAGACCGCCGGGGUCAACUCGGAGGAAGGUGGGGAUGACGUCAAGUCAUCAUGCCCCUUAUGUCCAGGGCUUCACGCAUGCUACAAUGGCUGGUACAGAGAGUGGCGAGCCUGUGAGGGUGAGCGAAUCUCGGAAAGCCGGUCUCAGUUCGGAUUGGGGUCUGCAACUCGACCUCAUGAAGUCGGAGUCGCUAGUAAUCGCAGAUCAGCAACGCUGCGGUGAAUACGUUCCCGGGGCUUGUACACACCGCCCGUCAAGUCAUGAAAGUUGGUAACACCCGAAGCCGGUGGCCUAACCGUUGUGGGGGAGCCGUCGAAGGUGGGACUGGUGAUUAG